ACGCUCGACACCUACGGGAAGCAGCAGUGGGGAAUAUUGCACAAUGGGGGAAACCCUGAUGCAGCGACGCCGCGUGAGCGAAGAAGUAUUUCGGUAUGUAAAGCUCUAUCAGCAGGGAAGAUAAUGACGGUACCUGACUAAGAAGCUCCGGCUAAAUACGUGCCAGCAGCCGCGGUAAUCUGAGCGGGCUGGCAAGGC
Molecule: ribosomal RNA, 198 nt
Filed under: uncultured bacterium
Lineage: Bacteria
Description: partial 16S ribosomal RNA
Rfam family: Bacterial small subunit ribosomal RNA
Source: RNAcentral